UUUAACACCUCUUAAACUCAUUUUUAGCCCUUCCAAUCUCGUUGGAAUGCUAAUUGGAACUUGUUCAUCUAUUUGUUUCGCAUUAUUCACUUUUAAAUCGCGCUGAGCAAUGCUAAAACUUGCUUAACACUCUCGGGACUCGACUUUGACCCUUCCAACAUUGUUAGCAUGUCAACUAGAGUUUGUCCAUCUAUUUCUCUCGGCACUUUAAUCCAUUU
RNAcentral lists this long non-coding RNA (218 nucleotides) under Ananas comosus (pineapple). RNAcentral's name for it is "long non-coding RNA (ACOM_LNC009027)". Lineage: Eukaryota; Viridiplantae; Streptophyta; Magnoliopsida; Poales; Bromeliaceae. The record is from RNAcentral.